UACGGAGGAUCCUAGUGUUAUCCGGAUUUAUUGGGUUUAAAGGGAGCGUAGGCGGGAGGUCAAGUCAGCUGUGAAAUGUAUCUGCUUAACGGGUACACUGCAGUUGAAACUGGUUUUCUUGAGUGCGUAAGAGGCAGGCGGAAUUCGUUGUGUAGCGGUGAAAUGCUUAGAUAUGACGAGGAACUCCUAUUGCGAAGGCAGCUUGCUGGGUCGUUACUGACGCUGAUGCUCGAAGGUGCGGGGAUCAAACAGGAUUAGAUACCCGU
This 266-nucleotide ribosomal RNA is filed under the name uncultured prokaryote. RNAcentral describes it as "partial 16S ribosomal RNA". It matches the Rfam family "Bacterial small subunit ribosomal RNA", at positions 524 to 789 of the family's 1533-position model. The record is from RNAcentral.